CAUUAGAUACCCGUGUAGUCCAGGGUGUAAACGCUGCAGACUUGGUGUUGGAAGCCCUUUGGGGGCAUUCAGUGCCGGAGAGAAGUUGUUAAGUCUGCUACUUGGGGAGUACGUCCGCAAGGAUGAAACUUAAGGGAAUUGGCGGGGAGCACCACAACGGGUGGAGCCUGCGGUUUAAUUGGACUCAACGCCGGAAAUCUCACCGGAUAGGACAGACAUAUGAUAGUCGGGCUGAAGACUCUACUUGAUGAUCUG
This 255-nucleotide ribosomal RNA is filed under the name uncultured archaeon. RNAcentral describes it as "partial 16S ribosomal RNA". It matches the Rfam family "Archaeal small subunit ribosomal RNA", at positions 727 to 982 of the family's 1478-position model. The record is from RNAcentral.